UGUGGUCGGUGUACAGGUGGUGCAUGGCUGUCGUCAGCUCGUGUCGUGAGAUGUUGGGUUAAGUCCCGCAACGAGCGCAACCCUUGUCCUGUGUUGCCAGCGUGCCCUUCGGGGUGACGGGGACUCACAGGAGACCGCCGGGGUCAACUCGGAGGAAGGUGGGGACGACGUCAAGUCAUCAUGCCCCUUAUGUCUUGGGCUGCACACGUGCUACAAUGGCAGGUACAAUGAGCUGCGAUACCGUGAGGUGGAGCGAAUCUCAAAAAGCCUGUCUCAGUUCGGAUUGGGGUCUGCAACUCGACCCCAUGAAGUCGGAGUUGCUAGUAAUCGCAGAUCAGCAUUGCUGCGGUGAAUACGUUCCCGGGU
This 366-nucleotide ribosomal RNA is filed under the name Streptomyces diastatochromogenes. Its description in RNAcentral is "bacterial SSU rRNA". It matches the Rfam family "Bacterial small subunit ribosomal RNA", at positions 1022 to 1378 of the family's 1533-position model. The record is from RNAcentral. Lineage: Bacteria; Bacillati; Actinomycetota; Actinomycetes; Kitasatosporales; Streptomycetaceae.